Molecule: long non-coding RNA, 680 nt
Organism: Strongylocentrotus purpuratus (purple sea urchin)
Lineage: Eukaryota; Metazoa; Echinodermata; Echinoidea; Camarodonta; Strongylocentrotidae
Exons: 3
Source: RefSeq, a predicted model, not a curated record
UCUUCAGGCGAACAUUGACAUCGAAGUGAUACCCUAUGAUAUCAAGAAAAAUCCUAUGGAACAAAGAAGCAGAUAAUGAUCACAGAAGUGCAACAAAGAGCACCAGGACCUGAUCAUCAAAUGUUAUGGUGUAGAUCUAAUCAGGAACAAGACACCUAAGUUGAACUCUGGCAAGGUUGUCCCAUGCAGAAGGUUUGAUACCCAGGCUUCUUUUGUACAAGUCCCUAGUCCACCCUCAUCUUGAGAACUGUUCCGGUGUCUGGGAUCCCUACAACAUCUCAGAUGUCCAGGACGCUACUUCACAAUGGGGACCACAAGAGAAGCAGCAGUUUGACUGAGAUGAUCAGCACCUUUUAGUUGCCUACUAUAUCUACAACUACAAGGCACUCUGCAAGAAGACUGGGAAUGGUGCACAAGAUAGUCAAUGGUCUCUCCGCUCUUCCUUGAAAAUUUUCCCACUGCACUACUUAUAGCUACUUGCGCCCUCUAUAUAGCAAACAAUGCCUAAUCUGUGCCUGUUGGUCCCCCAUGAUCCUCUUUUUCUUAUAUUAAUUGAGAGCUGAUUUGAUGAGAUAACCACCUGUCAGUGACCUUGCAGGGUGGUCUUAUCCCCCUGGCCAAACUAGUACAGACGGGCUUUAACAAAUCACGAGCAGGAAGUACCAUGACAUGACCCUCCA